UUUAAAAUUAUAAAUAGUGAACAUGAAUUCCGUUUUAAUUGAUUAAACAAUUAGAUAGGGAUAAUAAAAAAAAAAAAAGAAAAGCGCUGCACAGGAAAGAAAAGGUGAGUCACUUUGCUGGAGGUGGCGUUUCAUCACCCGGUGUGUGGAAUCUGUCUUGCUUGGCUUUGUCAGUUUCCCGGGCGGCAUCCAUAUAGGCUUCCCUCUGACAUAACUUGACAUAACUGCUGUACAGGUAUAGUGUGUAGAUGUUUAGUGAUGGGCAGGUAGUCCACGACCGAGUCCUCUCGGCACCCCCAUCAUGGAAAACCCCACUCAGUUCCCCCCAACGCGUGCUCCUAUCUGUCAGCGGGAGGCUCCACUGCACCGUGGGCACUCGGGGACGGUGGCAGUCCGGCGGUCUCCCCCCCCCCCCCGAAAGUCUCCCCCAGUUGUGCCCUGGCUUUUGGUGGGGUCUCGGGUCAGCUUUUUAAGGUUUUUUUGGUGGCUCAGAGCCAGAGCUGGCAUGAAUGGCUGCCGCUCAGCUCGGCAGCCCAGCC
Non-coding RNA from Pelobates cultripes (western spadefoot toad), 539 nucleotides. The record is from the annotation of a GenBank genome assembly. Lineage: Eukaryota; Metazoa; Chordata; Amphibia; Anura; Pelobatidae.